GGGUUGUGAGGUUAAGCGACUAAGCGUACACGGUGGAUGCCUAGGCAGUCAGAGGCGAUGAAGGGCGUGCUAAUCUGCGAUAAGCGUCGGCAAGGUGAUAUGAACCGUUAUACCCGACGAUACCCGAAUGGGGAAACCCAGUGUGUUUCGACACACUAUCAUUAACUGAAUCCAUAGGUUAAUGAGGCGAACCGGGGGAACUGAAACAUCUCAGUACCCCGAGGAAAAGAAAUCAACCGAGAUUCCCCCAGUAGCGGCGAGCGAACGGGGAGCAGCCCAGAACCUGAAUCGGCUUGUGUGUCAGUGGAAGCGUCUGGAAAGUCGCACGAUACAGGGUGACAGUCCCGUACACGAAGAUGCACAGACCGUGAGUUCGAUGAGUAGGGCGGGACACGUGGUAUCCUGUCUGAACAUGGGGGGACCAUCCUCCAAGGCUAAAUACUCCUGACUGACCGAUAGUGAACCAGUACCGUGAGGGAAAGGCGAAAAGAACCCCGGCGAGGGGAGUGAAAUAGAACCUGAAACCGUGUACGUACAAGCAGUGGGAGCACUCUUUAUGGGUGUGACUGCGUACCUUUUGUAUAAUGGGUCAGCGACUUAUAUUCUGUAGCAAGGUUAACCGCAUAGGGGAGCCGCAGGGAAA
Molecule: ribosomal RNA, 643 nt
Filed under: Dickeya dadantii
Lineage: Bacteria; Pseudomonadati; Pseudomonadota; Gammaproteobacteria; Enterobacterales; Pectobacteriaceae
Description: partial 23S ribosomal RNA
Rfam family: Bacterial large subunit ribosomal RNA
Source: RNAcentral